CCCCAGAGAAGAAAAUGUGUCUCAGAGACCUGCAGGAUACGGAAGCAAUUGGAAAAGCAAGGAAUUUGUGAGAGCCACCUGAUUCUGUUUGCAGUGCAGGCAAUGUGCUAGUGACCAAAGACACUGAUCGGCACUAAAAUCUGCGAUUCCAAGACAAAAGUCUCUUCUACAACCUCAUGCCAAAAUCUGUGCAGGGGACAAUGCUUGUAUGGAAGCCACAUUUACAAAAUUUAGAAUAAAAAAGCAUGAAGACAAAAUCCUGGAACAACUCAACAGGUCCCUGUAUUAGUUAAGGUAAGUCCUCUGUAGGCUCUCCUAAAGAAAGAAAUUUAUUCCAAGAACAACUUGGGCCAGAUUACUAACAGCUGUGGCCUGACUUUGUUUUGAAAACUCAGUUUUCCUUGUCAGGUAAACUUUUCCUGUCAGGCAAGCUUUGGCCAUCUCUUUCCAAUCUCUGGAGUAUAACUUCUAAAUCCAUAUACUCUAGCAGCGUGUGU
Alexandromys fortis (reed vole) is the source of this 497-nucleotide long non-coding RNA. RefSeq lists it as uncharacterized. The transcript has 3 exons. NCBI's taxonomy places the organism in Eukaryota, Metazoa, Chordata, Mammalia, Rodentia, Cricetidae. The record is from RefSeq and is a predicted model, not a curated record.